RNAcentral lists this small RNA (71 nucleotides) under Xanthomonas prunicola. RNAcentral's name for it is "sX9 sRNA". It matches the Rfam family "Xanthomonas sRNA sX9". The record is from RNAcentral. Lineage: Bacteria; Pseudomonadati; Pseudomonadota; Gammaproteobacteria; Lysobacterales; Lysobacteraceae.
AACCGCCCGUACCUUGCGGUUCUGAGCGCCGCCCGCACCCACCUGACCACUGCUCGCUGCGUUUUUAAGCC